GCUGGGAAUGGUGGUGCAUACCUGUAAUCCCAGCAACUCAGGAGGUUGAGGCAGGAGAAUCACAAGUUCAAGACCAGCCUGCAUAACUUAGUGAGAUCCUGUCACAA
RNAcentral lists this small RNA (107 nucleotides) under Marmota monax (woodchuck). The record is from RNAcentral. Lineage: Eukaryota; Metazoa; Chordata; Mammalia; Rodentia; Sciuridae.